CAGUCGCCGCGGUAAUACGUAGGGUGCGAGCGUUAAUCGGAAUUACUGGGCGUAAAGCGUGCGCAGGCGGUGAUGUAAGACAGAUGUGAAAUCCCCGGGCUCAACCUGGGAACUGCAUUAGUGACUGCAUCGCUGGAGUGCGGCAGAGGGGGAUGGAAUUCCGCGUGUAGCAGUGAAAUGCGUAGAUAUGCGGAGGAACACCGAUGGCGAAGGCAAUCCCCUGGGCCUGCACUGACGCUCAUGCACGAAAGCGUGGGGAGCAAACAGGAUUAGAUACCCCCGUAGUCCCUGUCUCUUAUAC
Molecule: ribosomal RNA, 301 nt
Filed under: uncultured bacterium
Lineage: Bacteria
Description: partial 16S ribosomal RNA
Rfam family: Bacterial small subunit ribosomal RNA
Source: RNAcentral